This 403-nucleotide ribosomal RNA is filed under the name Verrucomicrobiota bacterium. RNAcentral's name for it is "Verrucomicrobia bacterium partial 16S ribosomal RNA". It matches the Rfam family "Bacterial small subunit ribosomal RNA", at positions 355 to 776 of the family's 1533-position model. Lineage: Bacteria; Pseudomonadati; Verrucomicrobiota. The record is from RNAcentral.
UGGGGAAUAUUGCACAAUGGGGGAAACCCUGAUGCAGCGACGCCGCGUGAGCGAAGAAGGUUUUCGAAUCGUAAAGCUCUGUCCUAUGGGAAGAUAAUGACGGUACCAUAGGAGGAAGCCCCGGCUAACUACGUGCCAGCGGCCGCGGUAAUACGUAGGGGGCAAGCGUUGUCCGGAAUCACUGGGCGUAAAGGGUUCGCAGGCGGAAAUGCAAGUCAGUUGUGAAAGGCAGAGGCUCAACCUCUGUAAGCAAUUGAAACUGUAUUUCUUGAGAUGUGGAGAGGCAAGUGGAAUUCCUAGUGUAGCGGUGAAAUGCGUAGAUAUUAGGAAGAAUACCGGUGGCGAAGGCGACUUGCUGGACACAAACUGACGCUGAGGAACGAAAGCGUGGGUAGCAAACAGG